RNAcentral lists this ribosomal RNA (253 nucleotides) under uncultured bacterium. RNAcentral describes it as "partial 16S ribosomal RNA". It matches the Rfam family "Bacterial small subunit ribosomal RNA", at positions 524 to 776 of the family's 1533-position model. The record is from RNAcentral.
UGCGUAGGGUGCAAGCGUUAAUCGGAAUUACUGGGCGUAAAGCGUGCGCAGGCGGUUUUGUAAGUCUGAUGUGAAAUCCCCGGGCUCAACCUGGGAAUUGCAUUGGAGACUGCAAGGCUAGAAUCUGGCAGAGGGGGGUAGAAUUCCACGUGUAGCAGUGAAAUGCGUAGAGAUGUGGAGGAACACCGAUGGCGAAGGCAGCCCCCUGGGUCAAGAUUGACGCUCAUGCACGAAAGCGUGGGGAGCAAACAGG